Long non-coding RNA from Suricata suricatta (meerkat), 2296 nucleotides. RefSeq lists it as uncharacterized. The transcript is spliced from 2 exons. NCBI's taxonomy places the organism in Eukaryota, Metazoa, Chordata, Mammalia, Carnivora, Herpestidae. The record is from RefSeq and is a predicted model, not a curated record.
GCUUCUUCUGGCAAACCAUCGCUUCUGCCACAUUCAGUUGGGUGAAGAACAAGGGCUGCCCAGAAACUUCUUAUGGAGAAAUUCUGAUGCAAAGCUCUCUUCAAAUCCUGAGAAUUAUUGACCAAAUUUAGCAGCGCUUUUCAAAUUUGACAAAGUGAAAUCAUGGUUCUUUACCAAAGUUUAGGUAUCUGAAUGGCAUUAGUUUGCUAAUAUUCUAGAGGUAAACUAAAGUUAAAUUAAGUAAUGCUAGGGAAUCUCAUUUAAUAAUGAAAUUAGGUAAAUAUAAAACAUACCUAUUAGUUUCUAGCUGAGCAUAAAUCUAGCGUAUAGUCAGAUCUGUGGGGGAAGCAGAAGGCUUGUCUCUACAGGUUCAUGCCUGAGCCAGUGAGAAUGUAGUAAGACCAUGUUUUUCAACCCCCUUCCCCACAGAUGGAUGGAGCAUAUAUUAUUAAUAUACUAUUGAGUGAUCUACUCUAAACCUAGUGUGCCUGGGGUAAACUUGAGCAUUGAGCUUCUACUUCCCUUUCCCCAAAGAGUGGUGCUAGGGCUAGAAUAAAGACUUUACUUCUCAAGUUUAUAGAGGAAGUUAAAAUUAGAGAAAUGAGUAUAAGAGAGAGAUAAGUGGUUGAUUACUCAAAUUCUAGAAAGGGAAGUCUCAUGAGUGAACAAAUUUGAAGGAACAAAAAAUGGAUGUUAGAAAAGCAGAAUUAGGAAGACAAAAAUGAGCCAGUGAGAUAUCUGGUUAGAACAGGUGCCUCAUAUGUAUUUGGAAUCAACCGCACAAUGCUUCAUGCAUGAACCAGCUGAGUGGAACUAUUCAAGGCCAGGAUAAACUGGAGAUUUGGUCAUAGUUACAGGCUUUUUCCUUGAUUUAUUCACAAAUAGAGCCCAAUGAAAUAAAUUUUCAUUGGCCAUGGGCAUUACUCCCCAUCCUUAGAUUUUACAAGACAUUCCCUCAUACCCUACCUUCUUACCCUUUUGCCAUGCCCCCAUCCCUAGGUAUUGACUGUUUCCUGACAGCUUGACUUGACCUGCUAUCAUAUUGAAGUCAAUAUAUACAGUUUAUAUUUAUAUUUACUUGCUUUCAUAGUGAGUUGUGGAUUUUCUUCUUUAAAAAAAAAUUCAUGUGGAAAGUUAGGUUAUAUUUUUUCCUAUCCACUUAGGUACACUUCUUCCUAUAUGAGAAGCAUGCCUGCUUGGACACAAAGCUCUAAUUCAGGAACUACUAAAUGGUUAGGAUUAUUUUAUUCCCUCUUCAAGCACAGUCUCCAAUGUUUAGAAUGUUAUUCUUCUGUACUUAAUCCUUUAAUGUGAAAACAAACAUCAAAGGUACUAUGAGCAAGUCACCCAGUAAACAUGAUUUUCCCAAUAGUUUCCAUCUUGCUCUGGUUAAUAGCAUAUUAAGUGUUAAUGAUAUUUCAAACUAACUCCUCUUUUUACACAGAUCAUUUUUUAAAAUGAAAUUUAAGGAUUUCUCCAUAAGAGAAAUAGAAUAACAGAGGAGUAAUUACAUUUCAACAGCAGUAUUUAGCAGUCAAAUAGGCUGAGCUUUCAAAUGAGUUUGCGCUAGGAAUGGCAGGCGGAAAUAAAAAUAAAAUAGUCUUCUCCACCCACAAAGAGAAAAAAACAAACAAACCAAGAAACCAUCAAACAAAACCCAGAAACACUUCAAGCAUAAGAUCAUCUUUUACUUUACUUUUUUGUUGGUUAUUUACUUUGCCUUCUGGAAAUAUUACACAAUCUAUUAGCUUUCUCUGUUUAGAUAUUGCUGGGUACAAAAUGUACUAAUAACUUUUAAAAAAUAAACAUUGAUUCUCACAACAUAACCAGUGAGGACUUUUUAGCCACAUAACUACAUUGUUGAAUAUAGUUGCUUAACAAAUAACAAAAUAAAAUGAAAAAGAAGUUAAGAAAACAGGCUCCAUUCAAACAGUCCAUAUACUUUGCUAACCUUAUUAUUUUGUGAUUAAAGUAGAAAACAUUUAAUAGUGAGUGUUGGUAUAUUAUUGAUGAAUUGAUAACAGUAACCAGGACCAGGAACUUUCCUUCCCAGGGAGGCCUGAAUGCCAGUGAUUCCUGGGGAGGCGGGUGACUGUACAGGGAAUAUUGGCCCCAGGUUUCGGUUCUGCCUUUGUCAACAGCCCUGAGAUUUUGUUUCGUCACUUAUUUCUGUUUUCUGUUUCUUUCCUUAUUCAAUGACGAUAUCAGGCUAGAACUGAGUGGGCGUCCUUCCAUGUGAUUAUGAGUAUUGUGUGAUUUUAUUCCACUGCCAAAUAAAAAUGAUCUUUGCAUUGUG